This 438-nucleotide RNase P RNA is filed under the name Ignavibacterium sp. Its description in RNAcentral is "RNase P RNA component class A". It matches the Rfam family "Bacterial RNase P class A". From Rfam's summary of the family: Ribonuclease P (RNase P) is a ubiquitous endoribonuclease, found in archaea, bacteria and eukarya as well as chloroplasts and mitochondria. Its best characterised activity is the generation of mature 5'-ends of tRNAs by cleaving the 5'-leader elements of precursor-tRNAs. Lineage: Bacteria; Pseudomonadati; Ignavibacteriota; Ignavibacteria; Ignavibacteriales; Ignavibacteriaceae. The record is from RNAcentral.
AAUUCAAUCCGGGCAAUUGCUCUCCGGUUAGCCGGAGGGAGGAAAGUCCGAACUUCACAGAACAAGGUGCCGGGUAACGCCCGGGCGUUAAUGGAGUAAUCUGUUUUCGACUGAAAGUGCAACAGAAAAUAAACUACCUUGAAGAAAUUCAGGGAAAAGGUGAAAUGGCGAGGUAAAAGCUCACCGGCUUAGCAGUAAUGCUAAGUGCUAUGCAAACCACACCUGAAGCAAGGUCAAGUAAAAAAAUCUUUUUAAUUCGCUUUUCAUAACAGGAAGGCUGAUUAAGACAAAGUUGUUCGCUUUGAACCAAUACUUAAUUGCUGGUUGGAUUUUUGGGUGGACCGCUAAACUUUACCGGUAACGGUAAAGUAAGAUAAAUAAUUGCCGCUCCGAACAUUAUCGGGGUUACAAAAUUCGGCUUAUAGGAUUGUUUUAUUU